ACUCAAUGUUCCUAUAAUCAGAAAUAUUUAAGAUUAGAGUUUCAGAAUUUUAAAUCUCAUAGACAUGACCCAUUCAUAUCUCUUAAAAUUAUUAUCCUAAUAUUUGAGAUUCAUCAUAAUUUUUAAUAUAAAAGAUGCAACUGAAAUGAUGAAUCACAAUGCCUCAUUUAAUUCAUAUCAAAAUAAAUGUCAUUACAUG
This 199-nucleotide long non-coding RNA is filed under the name Elaeis guineensis (African oil palm). Its description in RNAcentral is "long non-coding RNA (EGUI_LNC069649)". Lineage: Eukaryota; Viridiplantae; Streptophyta; Magnoliopsida; Arecales; Arecaceae. The record is from RNAcentral.